UUACGGGUUGCAGCAGUGGGGAAUAUUGCACAAUGGAGGAAACUCUGAUGCAGCAACGCCGCGUGGAGGAUGACACUUUUCGGAGCGUAAACUCCUUUUAUAUAGGAAGAAGAUGACGGUACUAUAUGAAUAAGCGCCGGCUAACUCCGUGCCAGCAGCCGCGGUAAUACGGAGGGCGCAAGCGUUACUCGGAAUCACUGGGCGUAAAGAGCGUGUAGGCGGAUUAAAAAGUCAGAAGUGAAAUCCUAUAGCUUAACUAUAGAACUGCUUCUGAAACUCUUAAUCUAGAAUAUGGGAGAGGUAGAUGGAAUUUCUGGUGUAGGGGUAAAAUCCGCAGAGAUCAGAAGGAAUACCGAUUGCGAAGGCGAUCUACUAGAACAUUAUUGACGCUGAGACGCGAAAGCGUGGGGAGCAAACAGGAUUAGAUACCCUAGUAGUC
Molecule: ribosomal RNA, 439 nt
Filed under: uncultured bacterium
Lineage: Bacteria
Description: partial 16S ribosomal RNA
Rfam family: Bacterial small subunit ribosomal RNA
Source: RNAcentral